RNAcentral lists this ribosomal RNA (505 nucleotides) under uncultured bacterium. RNAcentral describes it as "partial 16S ribosomal RNA". It matches the Rfam family "Bacterial small subunit ribosomal RNA", at positions 28 to 507 of the family's 1533-position model. The record is from RNAcentral.
GACGAACGCUGGCGGCGUGCCUAAUACAUGCAAGUAGAACGCACAGUUUAUACCGUAGCUUGCUACACCAUAGACUGUGAGUUGCGAACGGGUGAGUAACGCGUAGGUAACCUGCCUGGUAGCGGGGGAUAACUAUUGGAAACGAUAGCUAAUACCGCAUAAUAUUGAUUAUUGCAUGAUAAUUGAUUGAAAUAUGCUAUUGCAUCACUACCAGAUGGACCUGCGUUGUAUUAGCUAGUAGGUGAGGUAACGGCUCACCUAGGCGACGAUACAUAGCCGACCUGAGAGGGUGAUCGGCCACACUGGGACUGAGACACGGCCCAGACUCCUACGGGAGGCAGCAGUAGGGAAUCUUCGGCAAUGGACGAAAGUCUGACCGAGCAACGCCGCGUGAGUGAAGAAGGUUUUCGGAUCGUAAAGAUCUGUUGUAAGGGAAGAACGGGUGUGAGAGUGGAAAGUUCACACUGUGACGGUAGCUUACCAGAAAGAGACGGCUAACUACGUG